GUGCGGCGGGGGCUGCGGAGUGCUCCCUCCAAGACCGGUUGCACCCCGCUUUCCUGGCCAGGACUCUGGGCGCAGGUCCACAGAGCGAGGGGAAAGGGUCACUGUGGAUCAAGCCAGGCUCCUCUGAGCAGUCCAGGAUCUAUUUACAGAGAGCAGCAAGUUCCUGGGACAGAGGAGACAGAAGGGAAUUUCCAGGUUCUUCAGGACGUUCACAACCACACUGAGAAGCAUCUUUGCAGAUAAGUAUUUAAACUUACCAGCCCAUAGCCUACCAGCCUGCCCUCUUCUGGUCUGUGCAGGAAAGUGUAGUAUCCUAGAAUACCAAAGUGGGAGGGGAAAUGGGUGAUGUAGCUCAUUCUCUUUUCUACCUCUAUGGAAGAAAGAAAGAGCCUGUCCCCAUUUUGUGGGGUCCCAGAAAGGGUGAUUUUCACACUUCACAUUUGGCAUUAGGGCUAGUAUUUUACAAACAUUACCGUCUGGAACUUUUGAAGGCUGAGUUAAAUGACUUCAUCUUGUGUACUUGUAGAACUGCUAUUAGAAGGAGGCUGGGACUCCCUGAUGAUGUGA
Molecule: long non-coding RNA, 567 nt
Filed under: Pan troglodytes (chimpanzee)
Lineage: Eukaryota; Metazoa; Chordata; Mammalia; Primates; Hominidae
Description: lincRNA
Source: RNAcentral